RNAcentral lists this ribosomal RNA (806 nucleotides) under uncultured bacterium. RNAcentral's name for it is "bacterial SSU rRNA". It matches the Rfam family "Bacterial small subunit ribosomal RNA", at positions 60 to 914 of the family's 1533-position model. The record is from RNAcentral.
AGUCGAACGCCCUCGCAGGGGGAGUGGCAGACGGGUGAGUAACACGUGGGAACAUACCCUUUGGUUCGGAACAACGCCGGGAAACUGGCGCUAAUACCGGAUACGCCCUUUUGGGGAAAGGCUUGCUGCCGAAGGAUUGGCCCGCGUUCGAUUAGCUUGUUGGUGAGGUAACGGCUCACCAAGGCGACGAUCGAUAGCUGGUCUGAGAGGAUGGCCAGCCACAUUGGGACUGAGACACGGCCCAAACUCCUACGGGAGGCAGCAGUGGGGAAUAUUGGACAAUGGGCGCAAGCCUGAUCCAGCCAUGCCGCGUGAGUGAUGACGGCCUUAGGGUUGUAAAGCUCUUUCGCACGCGACGAUAAUGACGGUAGCGUGAGAAGAAGCCCCGGCUAACUUCGUGCCAGCAGCCGCGGUAAUACGAAGGGGGCUAGCGUUGUUCGGAAUCACUGGGCGUAAAGGGUGCGUAGGCGGGAUCUUAAGUCAGGGGUGAAAUCCCGAGGCUCAACCUCGGAACUGCCUUUGAUACUGGGGUCCUUGAGUCCGGAAGAGGUGAGUGGAACUGCGAGUGUAGAGGUGAAAUUCGUAGAUAUUCGCAAGAACACCGGUGGCGAAGGCGGCUCACUGGUCCGGAACUGACGCUGAGGCACGACAGCGUGGGGAGCAAACAGGAUUAGAUACCCUGGUAGUCCACGCCGUAAACGAUGAAUGCCAGCCGUUGGGUGAUUUAUCACUGAGUGGCGCAGCUAACGCUUUGAGCAUUCCGCCUGGGGGGUACGGUCGCAAGAUUAAAACUCAAAGGAAUUGAC